GAAUGCUGACAUAAGUAACGAUAAAGCGGGUGAAAAGCCCGCUCGCCGGAAGACCAAGGGUUCCUGUCCAACGUUAAUCGGGGCAGGGUGAGUCGACCCCUAAGGCGAGGCCGAAAGGCGUAGUCGAUGGGAAACGGGUUAAUAUUCCCGUACUUGGUGUUACUGCGAAGGGGGGACGGAGAAGGCUAUGUUGGCCGGGCGACGGUUGUCCCGGUUUAAGCGUGUAGGUGUGUGUUCCAGGUAAAUCCGGUUCACUUUAACACUGAGGCGUGAUGACGAGGCACUACGGUGCUGAAGUAACAAAUGCCCUGCUUCCAGGAAAAGCCUCUAAGCAUCAGGUAACAUCAAAUCGUACCCCAAACCGACACAGGUGGUCAGGUAGAGAAUACCAAGGCGCUUGAGAGAACUCGGGUGAAGGAACUAGGCAAAAUGGUGCCGUAACUUCGGGAGAAGGCACGCUGACACGUAGGUGAAGUGAUUUACUCACGGAGCUGAAGUCAGUCGAAGAUACCAGCUGGCUGCAACUGUUUAUUAAAAACACAGCACUGUGCAAACACGAAAGUGGACGUAUACGGUGUGACGCCUGCCCGGUGCCGGAAGGUUAAUUGAUGGGGUCAGCGCAAGCGAAGCUCCUGAUCGAAGCCCCGGUAAACGGCGGCCGUAACUAUAACGGUCCUAAGGUAGCGAAAUUCCUUGUCGGGUAAGUUCCGACCUGCACGAAUGGCGUAAUGAUGGCCAGGCUGUCUCCACCCGAGACUCAGUGAAAUUGAACUCGCUGUGAAGAUGCAGUGUACCCGCGGCAAGACGGAAAGACCCCGUGAACCUUUACUAUAGCUUGACACUGAACAUUGAGCCUUGAUGUGUAGGAUAGGUGGGAGGCUUUGAAGUGUGGACGCCAGUCUGCAUGGAGCCGACCUUGAAAUACCACCCUUUAAUGUUUGAUGUUCUAACGUGGACCCGUUACCCGGGUUGCGGACAGUGUCUGGUGGGUAGUUUGACUGGGGCGGUCUCCUCCUAAAGAGUAACGGAGGAGCACGAAGGUUGGCUAAUCCUGGUCGGACAUCAGGAGGUUAGUGCAAUGGCAUAAGCCAGCUUGACUGGGAGCGUGACGGCGCGAGCAGGUGCGAAAGCAGGUCAUAGUGAUCCGGUGGUUCUGAAUGGAAGGGCCAUCGCUCAACGGAUAAAAGGUACUCCGGGGAUAACAGGCUGAUACCGCCCAAGAGUUCAUAUCGACGGCGGUGUUUGGCACCUCGAUGUCGGCUCAUCACAUCCUGGGGCUGAAGUAGGUCCCAAGGGUAUGGCUGUUCGCCAUUUAAAGUGGUACGCGAGCUGGGUUUAGAACGUCGUGAGACAGUUCGGUCCCUAUCUGCCGUGGGCGCUGGAGAACUGAGGGGGGCUGCUCCUAGUACGAGAGGACCGGAGUGGACGCAUCACUGGUGUUCGGGUUGUCAUGCCAAUGGCACUGCCCGGUAGCUAAAUGCGGAAGAGAUAAGUGCUGAAAGCAUCUAAGCACGAAACUUGCCCCGAGAUGAGUUCUCCCUGAGACUUUAGGUCUCCUGAAGGAACGUUGAAGACGACGACGUUGAUAGGCCGGGUGUGUAAGCGCAGCGAUGCGUUGAGCUAACCGGUACUAAUGAACCGUGAGGCUUAACCUU
RNAcentral lists this ribosomal RNA (1655 nucleotides) under Salmonella enterica subsp. enterica serovar Berta. RNAcentral describes it as "partial 23S ribosomal RNA". It matches the Rfam family "Bacterial large subunit ribosomal RNA", at positions 1292 to 2925 of the family's 2925-position model. Lineage: Bacteria; Pseudomonadati; Pseudomonadota; Gammaproteobacteria; Enterobacterales; Enterobacteriaceae. The record is from RNAcentral.